This 63-nucleotide transfer RNA is filed under the name Hylastes opacus. Its description in RNAcentral is "tRNA-Trp". The record is from RNAcentral. Lineage: Eukaryota; Metazoa; Arthropoda; Insecta; Coleoptera; Curculionidae.
AAGAAUUUAAGUUAAAUAAACUAUUGACCUUCAAAGUCAAACAUAGAUUAGAUCUAAUUCUUA